AUUGCCCUAGUAACGGCGAGUGAAGCGGCAACAGCUCAAAUUUGAAAUCUGGCUCUCGGGCCCGAGUUGUAAUUUGUAGAGGAUGCUUUUGGCAAGGUGCCUUCCGAGUUCCCUGGAACGGGACGCCAUAGAGGGUGAGAGCCCCGUCUGGUUGGACACCGAGCCUCUGUAAAGCUCCUUCGACGAGUCGAGUAGUUUGGGAAUGCUGCUCUAAAUGGGAGGUAUAUGUCUUCUAAAGCUAAAUACUGGCCAGAGACCGAUAGCGCACAAGUAGAGUGAUCGAAAGAUGAAAAGCACUUUGAAAAGAGAGUUAAAAAGCACGUGAAAUUGUUGAAAGGGAAGCGCUCAUGACCAGACUUGGGCUUGGUUGAUCAUCCGGCGUUCUCGCCGGUGCACUCUUCCAGUUCAGGCCAGCAUCAGUUUGCCCCGGGGGAUAAAAGCUUCGGGAAUGUGGCUCCUUCGGGAGUGUUAUAGCCCGUUGCAUAAUACCCUGAGGCAGACUGAGGACCGCGCUUCGUGCAAGGAUGCUGGCGUAAUGGUCAUCAGCGACCCGUCUUGAAACACGGACCAAGGAGUCGUCUUCGUAUGCGAGUGUUCGGGUGUCAAACCCCUACGCGUAAUGAAAGUGAACGCAGGUGAGAGCUUCGGCGCAUCAUCGACCGAUCCUGAUGUUCUCGGAUGGAUUUGAGUAAGAGCAUACGGGGCCGGACCCGAAAGAAGGUGAACUAUGCCUGUGUAGGGUGAAGCCAGAGGAAACUCUGGUGGAGGCUCGCAGCGGUUCUGACGUGCAAAUCGAUCGUCAAACAUGGGCAUGGGGGCGAAAGACUAAU
Molecule: ribosomal RNA, 830 nt
Filed under: Fusarium penzigii
Lineage: Eukaryota; Fungi; Ascomycota; Sordariomycetes; Hypocreales; Nectriaceae
Description: eukaryotic LSU rRNA
Rfam family: Eukaryotic large subunit ribosomal RNA
Source: RNAcentral